This 253-nucleotide ribosomal RNA is filed under the name uncultured bacterium. Its description in RNAcentral is "partial 16S ribosomal RNA". It matches the Rfam family "Bacterial small subunit ribosomal RNA", at positions 524 to 776 of the family's 1533-position model. The record is from RNAcentral.
UACGUAGGGCGCAGGCGUUAAUCGGAAUUACUGGGCGUAAAGCGUGCGCAGGCGGUUUGCUAAGACAGGUGUGAAAUCCCCGGGCUUAACCUGGGAACUGCGCUUGUAACUGGCAAGCUAGAGUGUGGCAGAGGGGGGUGGAAUUCCACGUGUAGCAGUGAAAUGCGUAGAGAUGUGGAGGAACACCGAUGGCGAAGGCAGCCCCCUGGGCUAACACUGACGCUCAUGCACGAAAGCGUGGGGAGCAAACAGG